UACAGAGGUCUCGAGCGUUGUUCGGAUUCAUUGGGCGUAAAGGGUGCGUAGGUGGCCUGAUAAGGGUGUGGUGAAAGUCCGGGGCUCAACCCCGGAUCUGCCGUGCCGACUGUUAGGCUGGAGUACUGUAGGGGCAGGCGGAAUUCCGGGUGUAGCGGUGGAAUGCGUAGAGAUCCGGAGGAAGACCGGUGGCGAAGGCGGCCUGCUGGGCAGUUACUGACACUGAGGCGCGACAGCGUGGGGAGCAAACAGG
Molecule: ribosomal RNA, 253 nt
Filed under: uncultured bacterium
Lineage: Bacteria
Description: partial 16S ribosomal RNA
Rfam family: Bacterial small subunit ribosomal RNA
Source: RNAcentral